Molecule: unclassified non-coding RNA, 155 nt
Filed under: soil metagenome
Description: partial internal transcribed spacer 1
Source: RNAcentral
CAUUCAGUAGCCUAGCUACUUGUUUAUACCCUUGGUUUUUUGCGUACCUAUUGUUUCCUCGCGGUGGGCUUGCCUGCCGGUUGGAGACAAAACUAUAUAACGCAUUUUGCUAAAAUCUUCAAUCAGCGUUCUGAAUUAUACAUAAUAAUUCAGAG